Molecule: transfer RNA, 65 nt
Filed under: Palaeoagraecia brunnea
Lineage: Eukaryota; Metazoa; Arthropoda; Insecta; Orthoptera; Tettigoniidae
Description: tRNA-Leu
Source: RNAcentral
ACUAUUUUGGCAGAAAAGUGUAUUGAAUUUAGAAUUCAAAUAUGUAAGGUGAUUUACAAAUAGUA